Molecule: long non-coding RNA, 383 nt
Organism: Coregonus clupeaformis (lake whitefish)
Lineage: Eukaryota; Metazoa; Chordata; Actinopteri; Salmoniformes; Salmonidae
Exons: 4
Source: RefSeq, a predicted model, not a curated record
CGCCAUUGUUGGAUCAACAAAAUCCUAAUUUGUUCCAUGCAAAACUGCUUACUAUAUAUUGAGAACUAAUCUGAUUAAGAUUGAACAGGAUUUUGUGCUGCUGUUUGGAGAGGGAACAUCAGCCAAGUUUUUGGAGAGGUGGCCAACUACAUUCAAGCAAAAGAUCAUCAUGCUAAGCAAGACCCUAAGCAAGGCCACUCAGGGAGCUGAACUUCAGGAGCUGAUCCAGAUGGCAGAAUCUGCAGUUGAUGAGGGAGCUGACACUAAUGCUGACGGAUGGGACGGUGACCUUUCCUCCAUCCUUCUCCUGCUCCAUUUGAUUCCUCCUUCAUCACAAGGCCGCAAAAGACCAGGCAAGAUGUCUGCAUCCCGAGCUGAACAGC